GAUAAGGUAAAAGGUGGAUCAUGCUAUGGAGCUGGAACUUAUGCUGCAGAUGGAUCUCGUCAGCCCACUGAACUGGAAUUUCAACAGGCCUUUCAUCAGGGAAAAUAUAUUGCUGAAAUUACAAAAAGACUCGGUAAUUAGUCACAGAACCAAAGAGCAAAGAGAAAUAAAACAUAAUUGAGCAAUCUAUGACUGAAAUGGAAAAGAGUACAUGAUUGUAAAAGCCUUUAAAGCUGUAAGAACAGGUUGAAUGUACCAUCAGUUAUCCUCUUGCUUUGCUUAUAUUCUGUUAUUCAUUCUCUUAUCGUUGAAAUAUGUGAGCAGCAAGGGUUUACAGCACUAACACAAU
RNAcentral lists this long non-coding RNA (349 nucleotides) under Nicotiana benthamiana. RNAcentral describes it as "long non-coding RNA (NBEN_LNC037030)". Lineage: Eukaryota; Viridiplantae; Streptophyta; Magnoliopsida; Solanales; Solanaceae. The record is from RNAcentral.